RNAcentral lists this ribosomal RNA (1346 nucleotides) under uncultured bacterium. RNAcentral's name for it is "partial 16S ribosomal RNA". It matches the Rfam family "Bacterial small subunit ribosomal RNA", at positions 28 to 1381 of the family's 1533-position model. The record is from RNAcentral.
GACGAACGCCGGCUGCGUGCUUAACACAUGCAAGUCGAACGGAAAGGCCCUGCUUUUGUGGGGUGCUCGAGUGGCGAACGGGUGAGUAACACGUGAGUAACCUGCCCUUGACUUUGGGAUAACUUCAGGAAACUGGGGCUAAUACCGGAUAGGAGCUCCUGCUGCAUGGUGGGGGUUGGAAAGUUUCGGCGGUUGGGGAUGGACUCGCGGCUUAUCAGCUUGUUGGUGGGGUAGUGGCUUACCAAGGCUUUGACGGGUAGCCGGCCUGAGAGGGUGACCGGCCACAUUGGGACUGAGAUACGGCCCAGACUCCUACGGGAGGCAGCAGUGGGGAAUAUUGCACAAUGGGCGGAAGCCUGAUGCAGCAACGCCGCGUGCGGGAUGACGGCCUUCGGGUUGUAAACCGCUUUCGCCUGUGACGAAGCGUGAGUGACGGUAAUGGGUAAAGAAGCACCGGCUAACUACGUGCCAGCAGCCGCGGUGAUACGUAGGGUGCGAGCGUUGUCCGGAUUUAUUGGGCGUAAAGGGCUCGUAGGUGGUUGAUCGCGUCGGAAGUGUAAUCUUGGGGCUUAACCCUGAGCGUGCUUUCGAUACGGGUUGACUUGAGGAAGGUAGGGGAGAAUGGAAUUCCUGGUGGAGCGGUGGAAUGCGCAGAUAUCAGGAGGAACACCAGUGGCGAAGGCGGUUCUCUGGGCCUUUCCUGACGCUGAGGAGCGAAAGCGUGGGGAGCGAACAGGCUUAGAUACCCUGGUAGUCCACGCUGUAAACGGUGGGUACUAGGUGUGGGGUCCAUUCCACGGGUUCCGUGCCGUAGCUAACGCUUUAAGUACCCCGCCUGGGGAGUACGGCCGCAAGGCUAAAACUCAAAGGAAUUGACGGGGCCCCGCACAAGCGGCGGAGCAUGCGGAUUAAUUCGAUGCAACGCGUAGAACCUUACCUGGGUUUGACAUGGAUCGGGAGUGCUCAGAGAUGGGUGUGCCUCUUUUAGGGUCGGUUCACAGGUGGUGCAUGCCUGUCGUCAGCUCGUGUCGUGAGAUGUUGGGUUAAGUCCCGCAACGAGCGCAACCCUUGUUCACUGUUGCCAGCACGUUAUGGUGGGGACUCAGUGGAGACCGCCGGGGUCAACUCGGAGGAAGGUGGGGAUGACGUCAAGUCAUCAUGCCCCUUAUGUCCAGGGCUUCACGCAUGCUACAAUGGCUGGUACAGAGAGUGGCGAGCCUGUGAGGGUGAGCGAAUCUCGGAAAGCCGGUCUCAGUUCGGAUUGGGGUCUGCAACUCGACCUCAUGAAGUCGGAGUCGCUAGUAAUCGCAGAUCAGCAACGCUGCGGUGAAUACGUUCCCGGGGCU